RNAcentral lists this transfer RNA (63 nucleotides) under Platypedia putnami. RNAcentral describes it as "tRNA-Tyr". It matches the Rfam family "tRNA". Rfam says of the family: Transfer RNA (tRNA) molecules are approximately 80 nucleotides in length. Their secondary structure includes four short double-helical elements and three loops (D, anti-codon, and T loops). The record is from RNAcentral. Lineage: Eukaryota; Metazoa; Arthropoda; Insecta; Hemiptera; Cicadidae.
GUUGAAAUGGCUGAAGAAAGCAAUAAAUUGUAAAUUUAUAUAUGAAAUAAUUUUCUUUCAACA